GCAGGGCAUACAUGUACUGAAGGUUCAUAAAAAAACUUUUUGCAGAUAUCUCUCAAGACUUUUCCUAGAAAAUAGAAAUGGCAAUGCCGUAAAAAUCGCUUGCUAGGUCCGUCAAUCUCAGUAAAAACCUACAAUAAAAUGUCCGCUCCGAGAUUGAAAUACUAAUCUGUGUUUCAAACAGGUGCUGAAAAAUGGACAUUAUCAAAAAAUAAUCAUUAAAUGUGUUUUAAAGUUACACCGGAUCGAUUAAAUCCAAAACAUGCACUGCUGGAGAACUGUGAUCAAAAUGUCAAUUUUCUACAAUGACAAAAGAAAUUACAUUGUGUACAUUCCAUCUCUAGACAUGUUGUCUGUUCAAGGUCCCGACCUAAAAAGAAAUUAUAAGUUUUUCUUAAUAUAAACCCGCGUCACGUGAUGUCUCCUCAAUAUUGCGCGCGCGCUGUAUCUAAAAUAAAAGAAAAACUUUCCAAACUAAACAUGAAACUUCUCCGGUAACAUAAUAAUAUAGACCCUUUACAAAAACAAACAAACAAACAAAUACCCCCCCCACCUUUUUCCAAAUCAAUCAAUAAAAAAACCCAAUUAUCCAUUCAUCAGAGGGGAAAGACUGCCUAACAAUUGUUUUCAAAACAAUUGCUUUAUAUUUAUUAUUAUUAUUAUUUUUUUUUUUUUCCGCCAACUUUUGUUCUUGCGAUAAAUGUUUGUUUCGCAAUAUGUCGCUUAGAUAUUUCUCAUAUUGUAUCGUAUAGUUCAUGGCGCUUUUAAAUUUACCCUG
Molecule: long non-coding RNA, 775 nt
Filed under: Mytilus galloprovincialis (Mediterranean mussel)
Lineage: Eukaryota; Metazoa; Mollusca; Bivalvia; Mytilida; Mytilidae
Source: RNAcentral